Molecule: long non-coding RNA, 1399 nt
Organism: Aedes albopictus (Asian tiger mosquito)
Lineage: Eukaryota; Metazoa; Arthropoda; Insecta; Diptera; Culicidae
Exons: 3
Source: RefSeq, a predicted model, not a curated record
ACGAAAAGAAAUUUCCAUAUGGAAUAUAUAAGAAAAUGUUAUACAUUUUUGCCAUUUCGUUUUCCUAAUAAAGCUCAUAUGAGUGCGUUAUAUGGAAUAUAACAUACGAUAAAUAAAAAGUAUAAGUUUAAACUUAUGAAUGCCAUUCGCUCUUUGUAAUAAUUUGUAUUAGAAUUUCCUAAUUAUUUAUAUGCAUCAUACCUAAUAAAAUCUAUUACAUUUUAAAUGCAUUUCAGGUGUGCUAUCCGCUAUCUGCAUCUUAUAGUUGUUGCUGCCCAAACCACCCAAAUCCACACCUGACCGUCCGGUGUUCGUGAUUCCGGGAACUGCUGCAUGCUGAAUAAUUCUAUCUAGAGCCAAGAAUGCUUCGGCCCAGGAGGGCAAGGGAAAGUAAACGGAAGUGCUCUAUCCGCAAUUCAAACUGGAGUCUGUUGCACUGAUGGCAAACGGGAACAGUAACAUAUCUGUCCACGAUAUGACGACGGCGCAUUAUGGUGAUUCGAGCAAGCUCGAAGGAUCGCUGUAUGGAAUCCAGUUCCACCGGUACGUGUGACACCAGCUUUCGACCGACUCGCUUCACGACUUAUCGAAUUGAUCAAAUGCCCCUCCAAACUGCGAACUAAUUCGUAUGAUGCCCUGAACAAGACGAUAUCCAGGAAGCCCGCUGCAAGGCCCGCUGUUGAAUGUUCGCUGAAAAAUGUUGACGAGUUCCUACGGGACCCAUGUCCAACCGGUUCUAAUCUGCACGCCGAAAGUGUGUACAACAAGGACACUGGAUUUGCCCCAACGGAGUUCCAUCGUGGACACAUUGGACAAAACGUUUCGGACGCUGUAUAAAUCGACUUGGAAUGACUGACCGCGCAGCCGUCUUCCAGUGCUAUGAAAAAGAUUGACUCCCGCACCAAAUACACCAUGUACAGGACUCUGAUAGGACUGGUGGUAUUCUACGGGCAUGAGAUCUGGACUAUGCUCAAGGAAGAUAGCAAGUGUUCGAGCGUUGGGUGCUAAGAACUAUCUUUGGCGGUGUGCAGCGGAACAAUGUGUGGCGGUGAAGGAUGAGCCACGAGCUCGCUGCACUCUACAGCGAUUCAAGCAUCCGGAAGGUGGCAAAAGCUGGAAUGAAACGAUGAGCAGGGCAUGUUGUGAGAAUGCCGGACAACAAGCCUACGAAGCCGGUGUUCGCAAGAGAUCCGUAUAGUACAAGGAGACCUGGAGGGUAGCAUGCAAGAUCAGGUGCAGAACGAUCUGGAUGUAAACGCGCGGAACGAUCAAAUGUAAAACGCGGCCGACGAUGGAGCAAAUGUGUGCGAAUCGAGUGUUGUAGCGAGGAAUUGUUGAAUCAGUUUUAUUAUAACAUGUAAUAAAUACUUAAUAAAUAAAUGAAUGCUAUGAAAAAUGA